RNAcentral lists this ribosomal RNA (655 nucleotides) under uncultured Bacteroidota bacterium. Its description in RNAcentral is "bacterial SSU rRNA". It matches the Rfam family "Bacterial small subunit ribosomal RNA", at positions 836 to 1504 of the family's 1533-position model. The record is from RNAcentral. Lineage: Bacteria; Pseudomonadati; Bacteroidota.
ACUCUCASUGUCUAAGCGAAAUCGUUAAGUGAUCCACCUGGGGAGUACGUUCGCAAGAAUGAAACUCAAAGGAAUUGACGGGGGCCGCACAAGCGGAGGAACAUGUGGUUUAAUUCGAUGAUCCGCGAGGAACCUUACCAAGACUUAAAUGUAGAUUGACAGAUUGUGAAAACAGUUUUUCUUCGGACAAUUUACAAGGUGCUGCAUGGUUGUCGUCAGCUCGUGCCGUGAGGUGUCGGGUUAAGUCCCAUAACGAGCGCAACCCCUAUUUUUAGUUACCAGCGAGUAAUGUCGGGAACUCUAGAAAGACUGCCUGUGUAAACAGUGAGGAAGGUGGGGAUGACGUCAAAUCAUCACGGCCCUUAUGUCUUGGGCUACACACGUGUUACAAUGGUUACUACAGUGGGCUGCCAUCUGGCAACAGAGAGCAAAUCCAUAAAGGUAAUCCCAGUUCGGAUCGGAGUCUGCAACUCGACUCUGUGAAGUUGGAUUCGCUAGUAAUCGUAUAUCAGCAAUGAUACGGUGAAUACGUUCCCGGGCCUUGUACACACCGCCCGUCAAGCCAUGGAAGUUUGUGGUGCCUGAAGUCAGUAGCCGAAAGGAGCUGCCUAGGGUAAAACAAAUAACUAGGGCUAGUCGUAACAAGGUUACUCCG